UUCCAGCUCAAAUUAUUCCAAGUAAGUAAAUAAUUUCAUGAUUUGUGAUUUUAUAAACAAUAUACAAAAUUAUUUGUUCCCACUUUUAGUUUCUUUACGACAAUCUAAACAACGAGAUAUUCUAAGUUUUUAUGUACAAUAUUUUGCCAUAACUCAAAUGUUUGAUACAUCUCUUAUUUCCUUAUUUUUGUUUUUCAAAACUAUAACUGUGUGCAACUAAAAAUGUUUCCUCACUUAAUCUUGGCUCUAUUGUGUAACUAUUAUUCUAUGCAUUUCUACUUUAGUAUGUGUGGUUUCGUUCUUACACUUCUAUUUACUUAAUGAAGUUGCACAUUUUUCUACAGGUACAUCUAGGGAGUCAAAUAUUGACAAUAGUGCUUGAUCAUCUUCCAAAGCAUUCAUCACUAAAUUUAGAAAGAACUUUCCUAAAAGCCUAUCAUAAUUUAAAAGAGCAAUCAAAUAUCUUCACGAAAAACUUCUCUUUUGUUUAUAUUUACAAAAUGAACAUUAUAUAACUCAAACCAACGAUGACUUUUUUGUCAAAAUAUUUGAUUGUUCUUUUGAAUUAUAUUGUGCUUUUGAGAGUUUUGUUUCUAAUGUAGUGAUGAUUACUUUAGAAGAGGCCCAAGCUCUAUAUUUCAACAUGAUAAUACAAUGAGGUGAUUCUUUAACUAACAUUUAUUAUAUGACAUUAUUUUUCCAUAGUACCAUUUGUUGCUUUUGUGUUAUAUUUUAGAAUGGACUUCAAAAGGACAAUUUAACUGACACUAAUUACCGGCCAAUAUCUACAUAGCCUCACAAAAUUCAUUAAAUUUUUCUUUGAUUUAUGUUCUUACUAAUAUUAUACGGGUAAUAUUAUGCAGGUAAGUGAAGUGAGAUCUAAUCUUAAUGAGAUUAGGUAUGACAUUAAUUUAAUCUAUGAGAAGUUAUCCAAAAAAAAUUUUUCUUCUUCAUUUUUAUCUCACAGCAAUUUAUCCUGAAUAUCUUUAUGAAUGUAGGAAGCUUUUUAUGAUUACAACGGACCAUCUACUGGAUGAUCAAGUCAUAACUAUAGAAAAACUUCACUAAUCAUAGUCAUACCAGUUUGAAGACAGCAUCAAUGCCACAAAAUAAAAGUUUGAUUUGCUCGUUUUGUCCUUCCCAUCUAAAUGAUUCUACCACAAUAACUUCCAAAGCUUCGUUUUAUUUUGUAGCACCGAUAACAAGAACUUUGUGAGACUUUUGGCUUGUAACUUUGUUCUAUUUUGAAACACUACUUGUGUAAAAACUCUUCCAUGAACUUUGAGUGUAACAACAAUGUAUAAUAAGCUUCAUGAUACUUUAGCUUCUAACUUGACUAUGAUGAUAUAAC
RNAcentral lists this long non-coding RNA (1351 nucleotides) under Olea europaea (common olive). RNAcentral's name for it is "long non-coding RNA (OEUR_LNC003827)". Lineage: Eukaryota; Viridiplantae; Streptophyta; Magnoliopsida; Lamiales; Oleaceae. The record is from RNAcentral.